This 648-nucleotide long non-coding RNA is filed under the name Mus caroli (Ryukyu mouse). Its description in RNAcentral is "predicted gene, 38139 (MGP_CAROLIEiJ_G0034649.1)". Lineage: Eukaryota; Metazoa; Chordata; Mammalia; Rodentia; Muridae. The record is from RNAcentral.
UUGUCUCUCACUCUCUCCUGCCUCAAUUAACAACACACUUGUGUUUGGGAUACAGCAGGCAGCACAGGGGUUGCAGAGACUCACUGUCCAGAGCUUGGCUUGGGGAAACUUGACUCUUGCCUCCAUGUCCUGAUCUUCAGCCAACGUGUGCAUGCCCCAUAAGGCUCACCUUAACACCAACCUUAUCUUUGAGUCUUUUCUUUCUUCUCCAGAUGUGUUUUAUGUGAGAUGCAAAAUGUCCCUCAUGUGUGUUUGAACACAUGGUUGCUGAGUGAUAGUCCUCAUUUUGAGGGUCGUGGACCUGUUAAGAGGUGGGUUGCUAGGAGAGCAGGCCUUGGGGUUUUUAACCAGCCUUUCUCCCUGUCUCCCUGCUUCCCAAAGCACCCAAAAGUGAGCAACAGCUUUGCUUCCUGUGGCCAUAGCUGAGAGCUACUCCCACUGCCAGCCCUUUCCUGCCAUGGUGGACUUUCCCCCAAUUAUGAGUCAGAUGCUGAUACCUAGGAAGCAUCUUGUUCCCCAAGAUGCAUUUCAAUAUGAAUGCUGCACGACUCUGAGAAUAUCUUUCUUGAGAAUAAGUAAAAAUAGAAGCAAAGUAGUAGGCAGUAUUGAAGAAAAGAAGGAGGAGGAGGAGGAGGAGGAGAAGGAGAA